This 103-nucleotide non-coding RNA is filed under the name Lachnospiraceae bacterium NE2001. Its description in RNAcentral is "c-di-GMP-I riboswitch aptamer". It matches the Rfam family "c-di-GMP-I riboswitch aptamer". From Rfam's summary of the family: GEMM was predicted in a large-scale screen for bacterial structured RNA regulatory elements. Genes associated with GEMM are involved in a diverse array of functions, including chemotaxis regulation, signal transduction, secretion and chitin. The record is from Rfam by way of RNAcentral. Lineage: Bacteria; Bacillati; Bacillota; Clostridia; Lachnospirales; Lachnospiraceae.
UCCAUAUAUGGGCAAAGCAGGAGUGAUUCUGUGACGCAAAGCUAUAGGGCCUGGGUUUCAUUGAGGGUGAGAGCUUAAGAACCAGAGGCAGCCAGUUGCAAAG